This 4161-nucleotide long non-coding RNA is filed under the name Fragaria vesca (wild strawberry). RNAcentral describes it as "long non-coding RNA (FVES_LNC001245)". The record is from RNAcentral. Lineage: Eukaryota; Viridiplantae; Streptophyta; Magnoliopsida; Rosales; Rosaceae.
GUAAGGCCUAUAUUCCAUACCAAUAUUUUAGCUUAGGCAUAUUCUACUUCCAAAUUUCUCUUUAGUAAGGAAUUCUAGUGAUACAAGUAGUAACUAUAUAUGUAUUUCCAUUUGAUAGGAGCAUAAUUAUGCGACGAUAUGAUGGUUAAUUCCCCUCUUUACUUUAUUAGUUUAUCGUAUUUUCCAUUUGAUUUAGUUAUUUUUAUGUUUAUUAGGUGUUUCGGAGCAAAGAAAGGAAUAUGAAGCAAAAGAGGAGAAAUCUUGAAGGAUUAGGAAUUCAUGUCGUGUAAGGAAAGAAUUAUGGGAUUUGCCAGAAAUUAUCAUCUAACUUCGACAGAGGAUUGUGAUCAGUUCACAACGAUCCAAACAAUGAGUUAUAUAUCAAUAGAAAGCUACAAGAGUCUACUUUCUAGAACUUUUUACGGAUCGUCAAUACCUAUUUUGUAGAAGAAGUUAUGAUCAUUUUAGUGGCCGAAGGUCAGUCUGCCCGAAUUUCUGAUUUGGACCGUAACUUCAAUUUCAAGGCCCAAUCCAAAUCAGCUGACCCAUGGACGGAAAUUGAGGGUUCUCUAACCUAAUAUCAUCUGAUACACGAGAGGAAACGAAGAAAAAGAAGACAAGUCGGGAAGAAAAGAACACAAGAAUCAGACGGAACAAGAUUGAUCUCUUCUCAAGGAUUCUCCAAGCUCGGUUAUUAUUGUCUUCCCCUUCCAUGAACUCUUUUGUGUUUUUAAUUUUCAUUAUGCGCAACUAAACUCAUAGUAGCUAGGGGGCUGUUGAAGCCCCUAGACAUGAUUCAUAACAUGCUUUGAUUUUCAAUUUGUUUUUGCAAUUAAUGAGAUUGAGGUUUUGUUUACCGAUUGUUCAUCGAUAAAUUCUUUGUGUGUGUGCUUUGGAGGCCUACUUAGUAUACAUGCUAGGGUUCUAAUACUUUGAUUAUUUGAUGCCUAGGUCAAUAUCGGAUCCCUCAAAUUGUCUAGAGAAGUAAUCGGUAGUUUUCACUAGCGAGUAGACGAAACCCUCGGUUUAGCAAGGCGCUAAAUUUAUUGCGAUGCCUAGUGAUUGCUCAAACUCUUUUCAUGCUUAUUGAUNNNNNNNNNNNNNNNNNNNNAAAGUGUGUUGUGUGUGAUUGUCGGGGGUGGAUACUUCCUCCCUAGCUAGUCUCAUUAUCUUGAUUUUCAACUACUUUGAAAUCAGUUUUCAGUUUUCUUAUCUUCUGUUCGUCAUAUUCCUGUAUUUUAUUUCCCUAUCAAAUCAACUCCGAUUUAUCUCAAAUUUUGUGUGCUAGACGCUCUGUGUGUCUAGUACACCUCUGUAAAUUUUCGUGUUUUUCUGAACAUUCUAGGUUAGGUUUUACUUUUAUUUUUCGACUGUUGUUCAAUAGGAGCUGCAGUCACGUUUUGUGACUUUUGUUGAAGCUUUUAGUUUAACUUAAUCCUCUGCGGGAGACCCUUAUUUCUCUAUAUUACAAUCGACAAAUUUGCAGGAGAAUAAGGAAAAUAAAUAGCUUUUAAUUUAGCUAUCACCAUUGGUUUGCAAAUUGGAUGUAGUUAUAUCCGGCUCGUAAGAUGAAAAUUUCUUGGCUUAUCUAUCUCAAAUUCUCAAUUAAACCUUCUUUUAAUAAUUUAUGCGGGUAUUCGUGUUUAGAGUCUUAAGAAAGGUCAAAUAACAAAUUAGUAAACCUUGUUUCUUGAAGGGGAGCUUUGCGCUUCUAACUUGUAUUUUCUUUUGACAGACAAAUACCAAUAUUUCUAUUUGUUGGAAUCCAAUGGAGCCAUUCAACUUCACUGUUGUGAGUGCACUUAUUUACAUUUUAUCUUUUGCAAAUUGUUCGGAGGAAUGAAAAGUUGUCUAGCAUUGGGUAGAUGUGCUUUGCUGGCUGCCCUUUAGAUGAUUUGGAGGGAUAGGCACAAAUAAAUUUUUGAGGAAACUUGUGAGGAUGUGGGAAAGGGUUCAUUUUUGGGCAUCUCUCUUGGCAUCGGUCUUUUCAAGAGUUUAAAGAUUACUCUCUUCAAGCCUUAUUUGUCAUUGGGAUGCAAUUGUGUUCUAGUUCUUAAGUGCUUGUCUUUAUUCUUUCCUUUGUAUUUUAUGUGGAUAUAGUUAUGUUUUAACAUUUGGUUCUACCACUUUCAGUCCACUUAAGGAAAACAGACGUAUGUCUUGUUUCUGUACUACAGUCUGUCAAACUGUAUUAGAUUGUUCUUUAGUGAGAUCGUUCCUGACACCGUCAUUUUCGAUGACUUCGAGAGGUUCUUUUCACUCUUCUUUCACUCACAAACAACUAGUAUUUGAAAUUACUGUCAUUUUCUUGUUUGCGUCCAUGUUUUGUUGAAAUGUUGAUACUUUAUUUGCUUGUUUGAGUUGAUGAGAGUGACUUGAUCUUCACUUCACUUGCCUGUUUUCCGAUUAUUUAACUACUUAUUUUCCUUCUUUUUUUGUGUUAUCUGAUCAACUAAAAAUGAUCUCGAAAAUCAUGCAUUUCCCCAAUUAAUUGAAGGUUUGGUUUACUGAUUAUCUGUAAAUAGGUUUCCUCCACUAGUGGAAGUAUAUCAUGGCAUUAUUUGGCUAUUCCUGUGUCUUGAACCUUGGAUAUGAUUUCAGACUUUUCAAUAUACACGUAGUUUUCUUUUAUGGAUGAGCAGAUUGUAUAUAUGGAUUAUUUGAUAGAGUUUGCAUUCAUUGGUAUGUUAAUAUCAUUGCAUUUGCUAGAUGUAUCUCAUAUCAUUGAUAUGUUAGACUAAAAGUGAGCAAAGAUUUGUGUUACCCUUCUUUACUCUUUAGAAAUUUGAACUAUUAUUUGAUAUCUCAUAUCAUAGACGUAUCUCAUAUCAUUGAUAUCUCAUAUCAACUACUAUUUGUGUUUGUGUUGGAAAUCAGAUUUUCGGGAUAAUGUCAUGUUCAUGUCUAACUUUAACAUUAUGUUUUUCAGUGGGACAGAAGAAACAAACUUGUCUACCCCCAAGAUUAUUUGGAUGUGUUAAGGAACGAGUGGGCAAAGUUCAUCAUCAGCAAAUACCUGUUGGGUGCAUGAUCUGGUCUGUUUUGGUGAACUUGGUGCUUUCUAUAUGUAUGUGGUAGUACUUUGCUUUUGAACUUAGUGUUUCUAUAUAUUCGGAACAGCUAUAUGGUAGUACGUACUUUGUGCAUUUCUCAUGUUGGAAUGCUUUUGGACAUGUAAGACUAUCUAGGAGCUUAACUAGUUGCUUGUUUUCAGUUUAUUAUUCAGCUGUAAUGUUGUUUGUGGAAGCUUGAAUGAUACAUAUGGAAGCUGAAAUGCAAUGUUUUAUGGUAUCAGUCAAUUUGUGCAGCAGUUUCUUUUGUGAUGUUUGUGUGUAAAACUUGGACAACAAAGUCUGUCCACAUGAAAAUGCAACUGUUGUAUGAUUCUCAUCAAACAAGAAAGCAGAAUGCUAUAUCUAUUUUGUGAUAUAACGGUCUAAAUAUUUCAGCUGUAGGUUAUUCAACGUCACACAACAGUAAAGAUAGGGAAUAAACCGUUGUAGCUUACUGAAAAACACACAAUGGUAGAAAUGAAAACCAACAGUUGUCUGAAAGGGUAAAAUACAACAAAAAUGUUUUAUUGUUUGUUGUCUGAGUGGACUUGUCGAUGCCGCUCAUGUCGCGCAUGGCAUCGAUCUGCGUAGCGACUUAUACAACGAAAGUAUUGAACUGUUGAGCAAAAUGUGAUCACACAACGGUGAUUUUCACACUUGUUUGAAGAUUCAAUCAGACAAGCCCGAGAUAUACAACGGAAAACCUAUAGUCACACAACGCCGUUGUGUGUUGACAAAUCUGUAGUAGUGAGACUUGCAAAUUUUACAUUUCGGUUGGUUCAAUCUUAAGAAUCAUUUUUAUUUCCACAAAGUCUACAUUUAAGUGAUUUUUCUCAUCUAAAUGGUAGAUAUUUCUCAUGAAAAUAGUAGUUGUGUCUUAUGUUAAAUGUAGACUUUGCAACUUUUACCUUCCAUUAUUGAUUCAAUCUUAAGAACAAUUUUGAUUUCCAGAAAGUCUACUUUUUUGUGAUUUUGCUUAUCUAAAUGGUACACAUUUCUCAUGAAAAUUGUAGUUGUGUCUUAUAUUAAAUGUAAACUUUGCAACUUUCACCUUCAAUUAUUGAUUCAAUCUCAAGAACAAUUUUGAUUUCCAGAAAGUCUACUUUUU